Molecule: unclassified non-coding RNA, 292 nt
Filed under: Hevea brasiliensis (rubber tree)
Lineage: Eukaryota; Viridiplantae; Streptophyta; Magnoliopsida; Malpighiales; Euphorbiaceae
Source: RNAcentral
UGUCUUGUUUCCCAAAGUUCAAUCCUUAUAUACAUAUGGCUUAAAUGAAGAGGCCAAUAAACUUUUUUCCUUAAGGUGAUAAAUUUAGAUGUUUGUGCACUGGACAUGGAAUUUUGAACCCUUUUGGUUUAAUAGAAGUUUCAACCCACAAUUAUUUCCUAUCCUCUCCCCCCACCCCCCUCUCUCUCUGCAUGGUUUACUAUUUAUAUUUCUGCAUGUGGGCUCAUCUAUUGAGUGGAAAAUAUGAGAAUGCAGAUUAGAUUUCUUAAUGCACUAGAUUUCAAUGUUUAUG